Lagopus leucura (white-tailed ptarmigan) is the source of this 250-nucleotide long non-coding RNA. RefSeq lists it as uncharacterized. The transcript is spliced from 3 exons. The record is from RefSeq and is a predicted model, not a curated record. Lineage: Eukaryota; Metazoa; Chordata; Aves; Galliformes; Phasianidae.
ACAAUGUCUCAAUUCUAGAAAAUUUCCCAAAUGGAAAGGAAGUUCUUCGAGUACAAGCUGUUGACAAAGAUGAGGGAGGCUUCCAGGGAAUGUUCAGUCUUACUCCAGCUGAUAGUCCCUUCCAGAUAAGUCAAGGUGGGAUUCUAACUGUGAGGAACUCCACACUGUUGGAUAGGGAGCAAAUACCAUCUAUUCAUCUACAGGUCACUGCCAGAGAUCAUUUGUCACCUUACGAUGAGGCACAAUCUGC